Molecule: long non-coding RNA, 1059 nt
Filed under: Marmota monax (woodchuck)
Lineage: Eukaryota; Metazoa; Chordata; Mammalia; Rodentia; Sciuridae
Source: RNAcentral
GGCAGGGGAAGCUGAGAGCUCUGGACUGAGGGCUGCUGCCUGGCACAGCACAGAGCCCCAAGGACAGAGGUGACAUGUGCUGUGUGUCUAAGCACAGCCACAGGCCACAGCCACGGCUCAGCCCAGGAGGGACCACAGGCACAUGUCUUGCGAGGGUGGCCCGUAGGUCACAACGCAGCUGGAAAGCCUGUCACCUGGUGCCUGGCAGACAUUGGCCAAACCAUGGUGGUGCCGUGUGCAACUCACGGCCGCACAGGGACGUGCUGGUGGCACGGGCUGAGGUCUUCCUGUGCUGCACUGGGUGUCACUGUUUGGAGUGGCUCCUACUGAAGAAGGCCACUGCGACUCAGUGCCAUGGCUGGCGGGCAGCGGCUCGCGCACUCGCGUUGGCUCUGCACUGCACCCGUGGCAGCCCUGUGUGUGUGCACUCCAGCGUGCCCACACCAGACCUGUUUCUAGACUGUGUCCCUGUCCUUAGAUGACCCUGGCUCUGUGUGUGGAGAGAGAUUAUUGUAAGGGAUCUGCUCGGGGUCUAGGGAGGCUGACGCGCUCCAUGGUCAGCAAGCUGCGGAGCGCUGACGGUGCCGAUCCGAUCCAGAGACGGAUGCCCACGUCCCAGCCUGAAGCAGGCAGGAAGCCUCCCUCCUCGGCACCUGCCUUUCUUCCGCUGCUCUCAGGCACUCGACUGGCGAACGAGGCCACCCACACUGCGGAGGUGUCUGCGUUCCUUCACCCACUGGCUCAGAGGCUCCUCUCACCCAGAAACACCCAGAACCAUGCGUGACCGAGGGUCCGAGCAGCCGGGGCCUGGUCACGGCUGUCCGCGGCUGCCUGGGCCGCGCCCUUCCAGGUGAGCCUGCAUCCGGUUUCCCUGUGCAGUGGAGUCCGAGGGAGGCUCCCUCCAGCAGGGCCACACGUGGGGACCAGGGUGCUUUGGCAGGACCUGACCCUUGGUCUCCGUUUUAAGGCCAUUUGGUUCUUUUCAAAACUUUCCCCAGAAACUUGCUCCAAGCAUUAAGGGUCGGCCCCCUGUUGUUCGAUGACACUGUCCGAUUGUAU